Molecule: ribosomal RNA, 448 nt
Filed under: uncultured bacterium
Lineage: Bacteria
Description: partial 16S ribosomal RNA
Rfam family: Bacterial small subunit ribosomal RNA
Source: RNAcentral
CCCAGACUCCUACGGGAGGCAGCAGUGGGGGAUAUUGCACAAUGGGGGGAACCCUGAUGCAGCGACGCCGCGUGGGUGAAGGAGCGUUUCGGCGCGUAAAGCCCUAUCGGCAGGGAAGAAGGAGGACGGUACCUGACUAAGAAGUCCCGGCUAACUACGUGCCAGCAGCCGCGGUAAUACGUAGGGGGCAAGCGUUAUCCGGAUUUACUGGGUGUAAAGGGGGCGCAGACGGCAGCGCAAGCCAGGAGUGAAAGCCCGGGGCCCAACCCCGGGACUGCUCUUGGAACUGCGCGGCUGGAGUGCAGGAGGGGCAGGCGGAAUUCCUGGUGUAGCGGUGAAAUGCGUAGAUAUCAGGAGGAACACCGGUGGCGAAGGCGGCCUGCUGGACUGCGACUGACGUUGAGGCCCGAAAGCGUGGGGAGCAAACAGGAUUAGAUACCCCCGUAAC